Folsomia candida is the source of this 1605-nucleotide long non-coding RNA. RefSeq lists it as uncharacterized. Lineage: Eukaryota; Metazoa; Arthropoda; Collembola; Entomobryomorpha; Isotomidae. The transcript has 5 exons. The record is from RefSeq and is a predicted model, not a curated record.
UUGGUGGAGUCAUUUUAUGAUUUUACGACGUGGUUGAUUUGAAGGGAAGUGAGAAAUUAAAAUCUUGGAAUAAUUAUAAUCUUUUGGACUUUUGGACUUGAGGACAAAAUUUUGUCACAAGUUUAUUCAGUUGACUAAAAUAAUUAAGUUAAGUGCAUAGAUAAUACUUUUUAUGUAUUUAUUUAUCACUUAAUUCGCCCAGUUGUACCUCGUGUUUAGAAUUGUGCUACACACAUAUUUACGUAUUCAGUUUCAACUUAAGUGACUUGACGACUACCCCCCUCGCCUGCCCCCUCAAGUUCCAGGAGGGACCAGCAGCUUUCCGACUUGUCGUCGCCCCACGCGGCCAGCGACUGCGAGGAGAGACUGCGCUUGAGCAGUUUUCCGUACUCGAGGGACAACUCUUCCCACUCGGACUCGUCACUGGUGGGUGUGCCCAAAUGGAUCGGCACGGUCACCUUCAAGUUGACAAACUUCGCGACGAUGAACUAAGUUUAAGAGAAAAUAUUUUGAUCAUAUACAUACUUAGAUUUUUUUUAAUGUACAACAAUUUGUAAAAAAUUGUAACAUUAUUCCUAAAAAAUUGCAGGGGGAAAAUGACUUUACAAGUUUACAAACGUCUUGAAAAAAUCAGAACUUACAAGUAUGCAAUAGGACACUUUAAUGAGUGGACAACCCUCCGCCCCCAUUUCGGAGGGGACGGUGUGCGGAAUUUGGAAGCUCCAAUUCCAAGGGACCGUUCUCCCCGGGCCUGGCGGAAUUGUGGGGCCCUCCUUCUGAACCAGGAAAUUCACCUCCUUAUCCUUUUGCAGAAACAGGCUCGGCAUUCCGGAAAAGUCGUAGGUCACAUUCUAUAAAAACAACAAAAACGUCAUAGAAAAGUCGUACGUGACUCCGUAUAAAAACUGAACUUGAACAAAUUUCAGAAACAAUGAAUUCAAACAUGGCUUGGUAACGAUUUAAAAUCCAUAAGUUCUGUAAACUUACAAAGUUUUAUUAAAUUUUACCAAUAUUUCUCAGGAAAAUUAGCCACAAAUUUUAGAUAAGUUUACAAACAAAUUUUUGCAAACUUGCUCAGAUUAAGUGCGUCCCUUUAUUAUACAAAGUUACCAAGAACUGCGUGAAUUGUCUGGGAUAAAAUUUUGCACUUGUUUGGAGAGGAUUCUAAAUAUUUGACAUUUGACCUUUCUAAUUCAGUAUUUUUCGGUCACCAAUUAUACAUAAUAUUCGUCGAUACAAUGUAAUUUCUAUGUAAUGCUAACCUGCUGGAAAACCAUUUUAAUCGCACCCAACGGUAAUUUCAACCCAUUUUCCACCUUAACCCGGAAGCUGAACAUGUCACCCGGCGUGGCACACAUUUUGUCCAGGUGAACGCUCAAUUUCGCCGUCUGGUUUCCGCCCGAUUUUGAGGAAAAGUGUGCAAAUAUCAAUUACUUAUUAUCGAUUACUUAUGUAUCGAUUAUUAUCUAUCAAUAACUCGAUAUUGUCAAGAUUUGCGAAAAAAAUCUAUAUCGUGCAUAUGCUUUACCUAUUCGUUAAUCCCUAAUUACUGUCCAGACAUUAAUUAGUAAUUUAGCUACGAAUAAAUAUUUUUACAAAUCGUUA